AAGCUCCAAGAAGAGAAGAGAAAGAUAUAGAAGUAUGAAGAGGGGGUUAUGGGGCGGCGGCGUCUUUAUGUGUUUUUAUUAUUUUUUGGUUUCUUCGAGAUGGGCACUCGGGAUUACGAGAUGGAAUCCUGGAACAAAAGCCACUUUUCAGGGACGACCUUUAAGAUGUCCUGAGUCUAUAACCACUACGUCACCAAACAUAUUUAUAUUCAUUUACAGUGGGAGAUUCUCUGGGGGAGGGGAGGGGAGGGUGGGGGGGUCACUUGAAUCGACGUCUAUAGUUCCCUCUCCCUGAGCCAACCAGGACGCGGUCACGCCGGAGCACGAACGGAGGCCGGCGUCGCUCCUUCCUUCGACCGGCAGCACGUGCGCCACGGUCUCCGGCCCGCGCGAGGGUCUCCGGCCCGCGCGAGGGUCUCCGCGAGGGGCGGAGACGAGCUGCUGUCACUACGACUGCUCUGUUAGGGUGUGUAGGUUGGGGGGGUGGGGGUUUGCAUUUUGUCACAACAACCUUUUUCAGAACAUUACCCUCCCCCCCCCCCCCACACACACACCUCACCGGUAAAAAGAAAAAGAAAAAUAGAAUAAUGCAUGUUUUCCUAAAAUGUGCACUUAAUUUUUAGAUUAUUACAAUUUCUGUAUAAUAGAGAUUGAAUGUACUUUAUUCUUUACGAGAGCACCAGGUUUUCAUAGUGAUAUAUAUUUUUACGAGUUGCAAAAUUGUUCCUUCAGCCCUCCCACAUUUAGACAAAAAAAAUCAAUGAAGAUUGACUUUUCAUUCCUUUAAAAAAAGAAAAAAUGAUAAAUGGAGGACGAAGAAAAGAAGAAAAAACAACAACAAAAAGCAAAUUUAAAAUACGGUUUUCCCAAACUUACUUGUAAAGACUGGGAUAUUUUUCUCGCCGCCCUCGUAUUUAGAGUCCCGGAGCAUGUGGACUUGAAAAACAACAACAAAACAACAACAACCUUGGAGGGGGUUUCCCCUCUUUUCUCGUGACACCCCUCAAAACAAUCGCUAACAAACAAACACAGUUCCUCUACCAAGGCAUUGCACAUGGCUCAAUCGACAUACAUCAUUUAGUUUCAAGAACAAUACUUCCCAUCAAAACAAGAAAGAAAACAUCAAACCCUAAUCUUUUUUUAUCGUUAACCUCAUCGCCGAGCGCGACGUCUUUCCGAGUGGGUUUAGAGACUGCUGCUUGAGCUCUAGUUGGCCGGCUGCUUUUGAGAUGCAUCCUAUGACUGCGCCAUGUACGCCAUGCUUCAAAAAAUAACUAGACUGCCACGGAGCUUAUCUUGCAAAUGAAAAAACAAAAAAAAUGUAUAUAUCUAUAAAUAUAUAUGUGUAUUAUAUAUAAAGAUGCUUGCGAUUAUCUAGUGAGCUGUCGCCUUUUCCUUAUUUCCUCUCUUUUCCUCCCUUCUCUUGACAUAAAUGUGUUUUUUUUCACCAUUCGCUAUAGCUUAUCUGUGAGAAAAAAAAGAACCUGAAUUCAUGUUUGACAAAUUGCAUAAUGGGAAUACAGAGGCACUUCCAUAGAUUAGAAAAAGCAAUCGCUUCGGCCGCCGCUGACGCCUUCACUCGGCGGAACUGGUUCUCUCUCUACGAAGCCGCCGGUCGCCCGACUCGGUCGGUCAACUAUGUCGUGUUUCCCUGCAGUGAAGAACGUGGCCAGGCAGUCCAGUUAUUUUGAGAGGUCGGAUGGGCGGGUUUCAACUUUUGACGGGGGAGAAUCGGAGGGAACGCGUGCGGGCUGGUGGUGUAAAACAACCAUAAAGGUUUCCUCAGAUUGUCUGUUUUCUUUUCUUUUUAAGACUUCCCUUUGAAUUGAAUUCAGCGGGGGUGGUAAGGGGGGGGGUGGGGGGGGCGUAAUAGUGGUCGGGUGAGUUACGAUGCGGCGAUCGGGGCUCUGCCAGUGGGAUACAUCCCAGUGACACAUCCACUCGAAAAACACUCGAGUGGUGCGCAAUCGGUCAGACAGUCGGCUGGUACGAUUGUAUUAGUGCAGCUUUUGAUCAUCAAUGGCUCAUCGAUUCACAAAUAGUAAAGGGGGGUGGGGGGGGGGGGGGGGCGCUGGUGUGUGAGUGAGUGCGUGUGUUGGGGGCAUUACCGUGGCAACCAAUAUCCUGAUCCUAUGCGCCGAAACAAAAACGAGCACAAACUGGGGCACAUGGGUGAUCGUCGGCCUCCUGCUGGCCUUACAGGCCCCUUCGCUCCGCUAACAGCCAGAUAUGUCACAUAUUCAUUUUGCUCCACAGUGUGGCUCCCUCUGCUCUUGGAGCAGCCGGCCCGUCUGGGAGUGUAAACAACAGGGUAAACUCUAGGGAGACUCUGGGUCCCGUCUUCCAGCAACCUUCCCCUCCCUUGCAUCGGCCUUUUUUUUUCUUUUUUCACCCAUAUACCACCACCACCACCAGCGGGGUUGCCCAGAGCGAAAUAGUGGGGCUGGGGCUGGUGUUCCUUUAGCUUUCUGUUGACCUGUGGGGUUCAGCAGGUACGCUGCCCAGGAAAUGGCCUUCCUGUGAUUGUCAGAAUCCUGCGUUGUGGGCUCCUCCGGGUACAGUAGGUGGCAAAUUUCUUAACGUGGCUCUGAGAAGGAAAGAACCAGUUUGACACUGAGGGAAAACCCACUUCUCUCUUUCCUUUGCUUUCUUUUGCCGAGAGUUCGAUGAGAAGAUCAAAACCACUCGCAAGUUUGUCCAUUAAAGAUGAAGGUAUGGGACGAAGCCGCUUAGCUUAGCACAAUAACUGGAAUGGGUAAGAGUUCGAUCGACAGAUGGUUCAUCCAAUCACCUCCUCAAUCAGCGUCCAAAGACGUCUCCUCGGAUGGUUCUGAGGCACAAACCCAGGUUGGUCAGGUUGGUACUGACGCAAAGGGCUCCAGCAGAAGCUUCGAACCUUUGUGUCCUGCUAAGCUAAGCUGCUGCUCGCGGCAACUUCAUAUGUCGUGCACAUAAUUGAGCGGUAUCGAUCAUCUCGUCCAACUGUCGGCAGAAAAGAAGCAAAGCAAAGAGCACAUUCCCCAAUGUCUCUCUACGUUUUGGCAUGUACCACUUGGUCCAGGUCAGCUGACCACCCUGUCUACACCGCUUCAAAAUCCCAUUGUGUUUCUCUAUAAGGUGCUGUCAUUCAAAAACAAACAAUUAUAAAAUAGUACAAAUCCAAAAAAGGAAUAAAUUCAAAUAAGAGAACACACAAGAGACAAAAUCGAUCAUCUACAUCACAAGAGGGCAAAGGGGGGGAACCAAUAGCUGCUGCCUAGAGCCGCCAGUCAACGGCCUCUAGCGAUGUGCUCACGUUGGGACGUUUCUAAUCAAACAGGUAGAGUGAGCUCACUGGGCUUACUGGGUGUGAGUGGGAGGAAAUGACUCGACACCAGUACAAUCCAAAAAUGUGUGUGUCUUUGUGUGUGUUGUCAUUUAUAAAAUAUUGGCUGUGGUCGUGGCACAGAUUGUGCAAGUGUGUGCGUCGCAUGCGUAGGGGGGUGGGGGGGGGGGGGUUGUGAGAAUGAGCUCAAAUGAUUGGAAGUGAGCGGCGUGGUGGGGGCGAGGGGGGACACGCGGGGGCUCCCUGCCACCUUCUUGGAUUUUUUCCUCUUUAAAACUCUUUAAAUAGACACGAGCGGUUCACCUACCAUGCCUUGCAGGUAAGUAGUGCACAUCGUUGAGAUUAGUGUUAAUUGAUUCAAGCUCCCAGUGCAACCCUCAACCCAGAUGCGUCUUGUCAUGGUCGCUCUCCAGUUAGUCGCACGCUAAAAAAGGGACUUUGUGGUCAAUUUAAUUUUGUUUUGGGUGAAGGCGGACUGCAGCUUUCAUUGGAAACCAAAUGGCGCGUUUGCUUGGAUCGAGGCUGUGGGCCGAGCUCGAAUGUUGUGUGAGAACAAAAUUUGUUGUGUUUGUUUUUCGAUUCCCCCCCCACUCGUCUACACAACGUGUGCUGGGAGAAGCUGACCGUUCUCCUGUUCCCCGGCUCCUCCCGCGUCGCUGAUGGUUCGGUGAAAGAAUUGUAGUUGUGGGUCUGUGCACAGAUCUUGUCAGAGGAACCAAGACUGUAGAAGAAAAAAAGGGGGGGGGGGGG
Molecule: long non-coding RNA, 4075 nt
Organism: Gasterosteus aculeatus aculeatus (three-spined stickleback)
Lineage: Eukaryota; Metazoa; Chordata; Actinopteri; Perciformes; Gasterosteidae
Source: Ensembl